This 253-nucleotide ribosomal RNA is filed under the name uncultured bacterium. RNAcentral describes it as "partial 16S ribosomal RNA". It matches the Rfam family "Bacterial small subunit ribosomal RNA", at positions 524 to 776 of the family's 1533-position model. The record is from RNAcentral.
UACGUAGGGGGCAAGCGUUGUCCGGAUUUAUUGGGCGUAAAGAGCGUGUAGGCGGCCAGACAGGUCGGUUGUGAAAACUCGAGGCUCAACCUCGAGAUGUCGAUGGAAACCGUCUGGCUAGAGUCCGGAAGAGGAGUGUGGAAUUCCUGGUGUAGCGGUGAAAUGCGCAGAUAUCAGGAAGAACACCUAUGGCGAAGGCAGCACUCUGGGACGGUACUGACGCUGAGACGCGAAAGCGUGGGGAGCGAACAGG